This 59-nucleotide non-coding RNA is filed under the name Burkholderia vietnamiensis. The record is from RNAcentral. Lineage: Bacteria; Pseudomonadati; Pseudomonadota; Betaproteobacteria; Burkholderiales; Burkholderiaceae.
GCCGAAACGUGCUGAUCAAGCACGUCCCUCAGAGGUGGCCUCCUGAGGCUGAUGAUGGC